RNAcentral lists this ribosomal RNA (1441 nucleotides) under uncultured organism. Its description in RNAcentral is "16S ribosomal RNA". It matches the Rfam family "Bacterial small subunit ribosomal RNA". The record is from RNAcentral.
CAGGCUUAACACAUGCAAGUCGAGGGGCAUCAGGAAGAAAGCUUGCUUUCUUUGCUGGCGACCGGCGCACGGGUGAGUAACACGUAUCCAACCUGCCCUUUACUCGGGGAUAGCCUUUCGAAAGAAAGAUUAAUACCCGAUAGCAUAAUGAUUCCGCAUGGUUUCAUUAUUAAAGGAUUCCGGUAAAGGAUGGGGAUGCGUUCCAUUAGGUUGUUGGUGAGGUAACGGCCCACCAAGCCUUCGAUGGAUAGGGGUUCUGAGAGGAAGGUCCCCCACAUUGGAACUGAGACACGGCCCAAACUCCUACGGGAGGCAGCAGUGAGGAAUAUUGGUCAAUGGGCGCUAGCCUGAACCAGCCAAGUAGCGUGAAGGAUGAAGGCUCUAUGGGUCGUAAACUUCUUUUAUAUAAGAAUAAAGUGCAGUAUGUAUACUGUUUUGUAUGUAUUAUAUGAAUAAGGAUCGGCUAACUCCGUGCCAGCAGCCGCGGUAAUACGGAGGAUCCGAGCGUUAUCCGGAUUUAUUGGGUUUAAAGGGAGCGUAGGUGGACUGGUAAGUCAGUUGUGAAAGUUUGCGGCUCAACCGUAAAAUUGCAGUUGAUACUGUCAGUCUUGAGUACAGUAGAGGUGGGCGGAAUUCGUGGUGUAGCGGUGAAAUGCUUAGAUAUCACGAAGAACUCCGAUUGCGAAGGCAGCUCACUGGACUGCAACUGACACUGAUGCUCGAAAGUGUGGGUAUCAAACAGGAUUAGAUACCCUGGUAGUCCACACAGUAAACGAUGAAUACUCGCUGUUUGCGAUAUACAGUAAGCGGCCAAGCGAAAGCAUUAAGUAUUCCACCUGGGGAGUACGCCGGCAACGGUGAAACUCAAAGGAAUUGACGGGGGCCCGCACAAGCGGAGGAACAUGUGGUUUAAUUCGAUGAUACGCGAGGAACCUUACCCGGGCUUAAAUUGCAGUGGAAUGAUGUGGAAACAUGUCAGUGAGCAAUCACCGCUGUGAAGGUGCUGCAUGGUUGUCGUCAGCUCGUGCCGUGAGGUGUCGGCUUAAGUGCCAUAACGAGCGCAACCCUUAUCUUUAGUUACUAACAGGUUAUGCUGAGGACUCUGGAGAGACUGCCGUCGUAAGAUGUGAGGAAGGUGGGGAUGACGUCAAAUCAGCACGGCCCUUACGUCCGGGGCUACACACGUGUUACAAUGGGGGGUACAGAAGGCAGCUAGCGGGUGACCGUAUGCUAAUCCCAAAAGCCUCUCUCAGUUCGGAUCGAAGUCUGCAACCCGACUUCGUGAAGCUGGAUUCGCUAGUAAUCGCGCAUCAGCCACGGCGCGGUGAAUACGUUCCCGGGCCUUGUACACACCGCCCGUCAAGCCAUGGGAGCCGGGGGUACCUGAAGUACGUAACCGCAAGGAUCGUCCUAGGGUAAAACUGGUGACUGGGGCUAAGUC